This 484-nucleotide ribosomal RNA is filed under the name uncultured bacterium. RNAcentral's name for it is "partial 16S ribosomal RNA". It matches the Rfam family "Bacterial small subunit ribosomal RNA", at positions 30 to 507 of the family's 1533-position model. The record is from RNAcentral.
AUUGAACGCUGGCGGCAUGCCUUACACAUGCAAGUCGAACGGCAGCGCGGACUUCGGUCUGGCGGCGAGUGGCGAACGGGUGAGUAAUACAUCGGAACGUACCCUGUUGUGGGGGAUAACUAGUCGAAAGAUUAGCUAAUACCGCAACCGACCUGAGGGUGAAAGUGGGGGACCGCAAGGCCUCACGCAGCAGGAGCGGCCGAUGUCUGAUUAGCUAGUUGGUGGGGUAAAGGCCCACCAAGGCGACGAUCAGUAGCUGGUCUGAGAGGACGAUCAGCCACACUGGGACUGAGACACGGCCCAGACUCCUACGGGAGGCAGCAGUGGGGAAUUUUGGACAAUGGGGGCAACCCUGAUCCAGCAAUGCCGCGUGUGUGAAGAAGGCCUUCGGGUUGUAAAGCACUUUUGUCCGGAAAGAAAUCGCGCUGGUUAAUACCUGGCGUGGAUGACGGUACCGGAAGAAUAAGCACCGGCUAACUACGUG